This 306-nucleotide unclassified non-coding RNA is filed under the name Hevea brasiliensis (rubber tree). Lineage: Eukaryota; Viridiplantae; Streptophyta; Magnoliopsida; Malpighiales; Euphorbiaceae. The record is from RNAcentral.
AUAAAUGGGAAAAAAUAAAUGGUUGCAAUAAAAAUGUGACAAAGUUACUACUUUGUUGCCUUGCAGUUUGGGAAACGCACCAAGGCAAUAAGGUGCAUGCCUCCGUUAGGUGGCUCACUUGACCACAAUAGAGGUGCUAGACGUAGUGGCUAUUAACCCUUUAGCAACCUUGUUAUCAACUAUCAACAAGAAUUAUUAGCUCUUAGCUGCCAUUAUUAGUUUGUCUUGAACUGAAUGGACUCUAAAAGAAUGCUGUUAUCUAUUUUUAUUGUAUUAAUUGCUAGUCUUACAUCAUGAAUGUGUUGU